Molecule: ribosomal RNA, 253 nt
Filed under: uncultured bacterium
Lineage: Bacteria
Description: partial 16S ribosomal RNA
Rfam family: Bacterial small subunit ribosomal RNA
Source: RNAcentral
GACAGAGGUGCCGAGCGUUGUUCGGAAUUACUGGGCGUAAAGAGUGUGUAGGUGGUGUCGUAAGUUUGGUGUGAAAUCUCCCGGCUUAACUGGGAGGGUGCGCCGAAGACUGCGAUGCUGGAGUAUGGGAGAGGAAAGCGGAAUUCCUGGUGUAGCGGUGAAAUGCGUAGAUAUCAGGAGGAACACCUGCGGUGUAGACGGCUUUCUGGACCAUUACUGACACUGAGACACGAAAGCGUGGGUAGCAAACAGG